UGUGAGCUCGAUGAGUAGGGCGGGACACGUGGUAUCCUGUCUGAAUAUGGGGGGACCAUCCUCCAAGGCUAAAUACUCCUGACUGACCGAUAGUGAACCAGUACCGUGAGGGAAAGGCGAAAAGAACCCCGGCGAGGGGAGUGAAAAAGAACCUGAAACCGUGUACGUACAAGCAGUGGGAGCACGCUUAGGCGUGUGACUGCGUACCUUUUGUAUAAUGGGUCAGCGACUUAUAUUCUGUAGCAAGGUUAACCGAAUAGGGGAGCCGAAGGGAAACCGAGUCUUAACUGGGCGUUAAGUUGCAGGGUAUAGACCCGAAACCCGGUGAUCUAGCCAUGGGCAGGUUGAAGGUUGGGUAACACUAACUGGAGGACCGAACCGACUAAUGUUGAAAAAUUAGCGGAUGACUUGUGGCUGGGGGUGAAAGGCCAAUCAAACCGGGAGAUAGCUGGUUCUCCCCGAAAGCUAUUUAGGUAGCGCCUCGUGAAUUCAUCUCCGGGGGUAGAGCACUGUUUCGGCAAGGGGGUCAUCCCGACUUACCAACCCGAUGCAAACUGCGAAUACCGGAGAAUGUUAUCACGGGAGACACACGGCGGGUGCUAACGUCCGUCGUGAAGAGGGAAACAACCCAGACCGCCAGCUAAGGUCCCAAAGUCAUGGUUAAGUGGGAAACGAUGUGGGAAGGCCCAGACAGCCAGGAUGUUGGCUUAGAAGCAGCCAUCAUUUAAAGAAAGCGUAAUAGCUCACUGGUCGAGUCGGCCUGCGCGGAAGAUGUAACGGGGCUAAACCAUGCACCGAAGCUGCGGCAGCGACGCUUAUGCGUUGUUGGGUAGGGGAGCGUUCUGUAAGCCUGUGAAGGUGUGCUGUGAGGCAUGCUGGAGGUAUCAGAAGUGCGAAUGCUGACAUAAGUAACGAUAAAGCGGGUGAAAAGCCCGCUCGCCGGAAGACCAAGGGUUCCUGUCCAACGUUAAUCGGGGCAGGGUGAGUCGACCCCUAAGGCGAGGCCGAAAGGCGUAGUCGAUGGGAAACAGGUUAAUAUUCCUGUACUUGGUGUUACUGCGAAGGGGGGACGGAGAAGGCUAUGUUGGCCGGGCGACGGUUGUCCCGGUUUAAGCGUGUAGGCUGGUUUUCCAGGCAAAUCCGGAAAAUCAAGGCUGAGGCGUGAUGACGAGGCACUACGGUGCUGAAGCAACAAAUGCCCUGCUUCCAGGAAAAGCCUCUAAGCAUCAGGUAACAUCAAAUCGUACCCCAAACCGACACAGGUGGUCAGGUAGAGAAUACCAAGGCGCUUGAGAGAACUCGGGUGAAGGAACUAGGCAAAAUGGUGCCGUAACUUCGGGAGAAGGCACGCUGAUAUGUAGGUGAAGUCCCUUGCGGAUGGAGCUGAAAUCAGUCGAAGAUACCAGCUGGCUGCAACUGUUUAUUAAAAACACAGCACUGUGCAAACACGAAAGUGGACGUAUACGGUGUGACGCCUGCCCGGUGCCGGAAGGUUAAUUGAUGGGGUCAGCGCAAGCGAAGCUCUUGAUCGAAGCCCCGGUAAACGGCGGCCGUAACUAUAACGGUCCUAAGGUAGCGAAAUUCCUUGUCGGGUAAGUUCCGACCUGCACGAAUGGCGUAAUGAUGGCCAGGCUGUCUCCACCCGAGACUCAGUGAAAUUGAACUCGCUGUGAAGAUGCAGUGUACCCGCGGCAAGACGGAAAGACCCCGUGAACCUUUACUAUAGCUUGACACUGAACAUUGAGCCUUGAUGUGUAGGAUAGGUGGGAGGCUUUGAAGUGUGGACGCCAGUCUGCAUGGAGCCGACCUUGAAAUACCACCCUUUAAUGUUUGAUGUUCUAACGUGGACCCGUGAUCCGGGUUGCGGACAGUGUCUGGUGGGUAGUUUGACUGGGGCGGUCUCCUCCUAAAGAGUAACGGAGGAGCACGAAGGUUGGCUAAUCCUGGUCGGACAUCAGGAGGUUAGUGCAAUGGCAUAAGCCAGCUUGACUGCGAGCGUGACGGCGCGAGCAGGUGCGAAAGCAGGUCAUAGUGAUCCGGUGGUUCUGAAUGGAAGGGCCAUCGCUCAACGGAUAAAAGGUACUCCGGGGAUAACAGGCUGAUACCGCCCAAGAGUUCAUAUCGACGGCGGUGUUUGGCACCUCGAUGUCGGCUCAUCACAUCCUGGGGCUGAAGUAGGUCCCAAGGGUAUGGCUGUUCGCCAUUUAAAGUGGUACGCGAGCUGGGUUUAGAACGUCGUGAGACAGUUCGGUCCCUAUCUGCCGUGGGCGCUGGAGAACUGAGGGGGGCUGCUCCUAGUACGAGAGGACCGGAGUGGACGCAUCACUGGUGUUCGGGUUGUCAUGCCAAUGGCACUGCCCGGUAGCUAAAUGCGGAAGAGAUAAGUGCUGAAAGCAUCUAAGCACGAAACUUGCCCCGAGAUGAGUUCUCCCUGACCCUUUAAGGGUCCUGAAGGAACGUUGAAGACGACGACGUUGAUAGGCCGGGUGUGUAAGCGCAGCGAUGCGUUGAGCUAACCGGUACUAAUGAACCGUGAGGCUUAACCUUACAACGCCGAAG
Molecule: ribosomal RNA, 2559 nt
Filed under: Escherichia coli
Lineage: Bacteria; Pseudomonadati; Pseudomonadota; Gammaproteobacteria; Enterobacterales; Enterobacteriaceae
Description: partial 23S ribosomal RNA
Rfam family: Bacterial large subunit ribosomal RNA
Source: RNAcentral